UACAGAGGGGGCAAGCGUUAUUCGGAAUUAUUGGGCGUAAAGGGCGCGUAGGCGGCUUGGCAAGUGGAAGGUGAAAUCCCUCGGCUUAACCGAGGAACUGCCUUCCAGACUGCUUUGCUUGAGGCCGGGAGAGGUGAGUGGAAUUCCCAGUGUAGCGGUGAAAUGCUUAGAUAUCGUCAAGAACACCUAUAGCGAAGGCAGCUUACUAGGCUGUAACUGACGCUGAGGCGCGAAAGCUAGGGGAGCAAACGGG
Molecule: ribosomal RNA, 253 nt
Filed under: uncultured bacterium
Lineage: Bacteria
Description: partial 16S ribosomal RNA
Rfam family: Bacterial small subunit ribosomal RNA
Source: RNAcentral